AAGUGUCCGUAGCCGGUUUCGUAAGUUCCUGGUAAAAUCGGGUAGCUUAACUAUUCGUAUGCUAGGAAUACUGCGGUACUAGAGGGCGGGAGAGGUCUGAGGUACUACAGGGGUAGGGGUGAAAUCUUAUAAUCCUUGUAGGACCACCAGUGGCGAAAGCGUCAGACUGGAACGCGCCUGACGGUGAGGGACGAAAGCCAGGGGAGCGAACCGGAUUAGAUACCCGGGUAGUCCUGGCCGUAAACGAUGCAUACUAGGUAAUGGCACGGCCAUGAGCCGUGUCAGUGCCGUAGGGAAACCGUUAAGUGUGCCGCCUGGGAAGUACGGUCGCAAGGCUAAAACUUAAAGGAAUUGGCGGGGGAGCACCACAAGGGGUGAAGCCUGCGGUUCAAUUGGACUCAACGCCGGGAAUCUUACCAGGGGAGACAGCAGAAUGACGGUCAGGUUGACGACCUUACCCGACGAGCUGAGAGGAGGUGCAUGGCCGUCGCCAGUUCGUGCUGUGAGGUAUCCUGUUAAGUCAGGCAACGAACGAGACCCGCGCUUUUAUUUGCC
RNAcentral lists this ribosomal RNA (555 nucleotides) under uncultured Thermococci archaeon. RNAcentral's name for it is "bacterial SSU rRNA". It matches the Rfam family "Archaeal small subunit ribosomal RNA", at positions 513 to 1068 of the family's 1478-position model. The record is from RNAcentral. Lineage: Archaea; Methanobacteriati; Methanobacteriota; Thermococci.